CCUACGGGCGGCAGCAGUGGGGAAUAUUGGACAAUGGGGGAACCCUGAUCCAGGCAUGCCGCGUGUGUUAAGAAGGCCCUCGGGUUGGAAAGCACUUUCAGUGAGGAAGAACGCCUGGUGGUUAAUACCCAUCAGGAAAGACAUCACUCACAGAAGAAGCACCCGCUAACUCCGUUCCAGCAGCCGCGGUAAUACGGAGGGUGCGAGCGUUAAUCGGAAUUACUGGGCGUAAAGCGCGCGUAGGUGGCUUGAUAAGCCGGUUGUGAAAGCCCCGGGCUCAACCUGGGAACGGCAUCCGGAACUGUCAAGCUAGAGUGCAGGAGAGGAAGGUAGAAUUCCCGGUGUAGCGGUGAAAUGCGUAGAGAUCGGGAGGAAUACCAGUGGCGAAGGCGGCCUUCUGGACUGACACUGACACUGAGGUGCGAAAGCGUGGGUAGCAAACAGGAUUAGAUACCCUGGUAGUC
Molecule: ribosomal RNA, 464 nt
Filed under: Vreelandella stevensii
Lineage: Bacteria; Pseudomonadati; Pseudomonadota; Gammaproteobacteria; Oceanospirillales; Halomonadaceae
Description: partial 16S ribosomal RNA
Rfam family: Bacterial small subunit ribosomal RNA
Source: RNAcentral